Long non-coding RNA from Arachis duranensis, 1709 nucleotides. RefSeq lists it as uncharacterized. NCBI's taxonomy places the organism in Eukaryota, Viridiplantae, Streptophyta, Magnoliopsida, Fabales, Fabaceae. The transcript has 7 exons. The record is from RefSeq and is a predicted model, not a curated record.
UUAGUGAAUUUUUUUUGUUUCUUUAUUUCUUCUCAUCAUCGAAGCCCUGCACUCUAUCUUCUUCGUCAUUCCUUCUUUCCUACCAGAGCACCAAAUAACAAAACCCUAGCCGCUUCUUCAAUCUCCCCGUCAUUGUGCCUUCCUUUGUCGUGCGCCACUGUCAUCGUCUCACUCGUCUGCUCAUCGUUCUUAGUCGUGCUCUGCCGCCGUUCAUCCAUCUCGCAGCUAUUCCUUGUAAGGUUGUGAAAACCCUAGCCUCCACCGCGCCGCGAUCAAUUUCACCGCCGCCGCCCGUCGCGCUCAAGAUCGUCACUAGGUUCGUCAUUCUCGAGGUCCCUCGAUCCCUCGUUCGUCAAUGUUUGCUUUCCAGUCCUGUUUCGCAGUUCUUCGCCGUCGUCCGUUGUCGUGUUUGUCGCCAGCUCACCGUCUUCGAAGGUCCAUGCUCUGUUCGUGGCUCACUGUAAUAGUAAACCUGAAGAAGGAUCAGUCAGUCAUAGAGUACAGUAAUUGGCAAAGUACAGGUUUCUGAAGUUUUCUUGCAGCUUGGAUCCACUUGUUUCUUACCUUUCUAUCAACUAUCUAGACCGGUUCUUGUCCAACCAUGGGAUACUGAAACAAAAGGCAUGGGUCCUUCGGCUGCUUGCAAUUUCUUGCAUUUCUUUAGCACCCAAGAUGAUAAAGCCAGGGUACUCUGCCAUUGAUACUCAGAAGCCACAAGAAAUAUUCCUGCUCCAUUUGAUAACUUCACCACCCUGCAAACUAAGUUUAACAAUGCUGGACUUGAUCUCAAUUGAAGUAAGUAACCAAACAGUUUCUCCUGGACAGAUUGAUUAUGCUGAGAGAUAUUUUAGAAUUGACUAAGGCUUUUAACGUGAAAGAGGCUGAGGCAAAGGCAUAUAUAUUUGAGAUCCAGAUUACUUUCCUUUCUCCAAUACUGAAUGAACUGCAAAAACUUCAAUUGAUGCUGCAAACUAUGACAAUGUGAUGUUAUUGGGUGGAACGUGUGAGUGUCCUUAUGUUUGCUAAUAAAAGCAUUUCUUCCCACCAGACUUCAAUUGAUGCUGCAAACUAUGACAGGGUGAUGUUACUGGGUGGAAGAGCGCUAGAGUAUCUUGCUCAUGAUCCUCUUGUGGCACUGGUGAUCAAGUUUUUCAGUUCUGGAAAAACACUUGCUUCCAUUUGCCUCGGACAGUUGAUUCUGGCGGUUGCAGGUGUAGUUAAAGAUCACAAGUUUACCGCUUUUUCUCCUGCUAAACCAGCACCGGUUGUCUCUGGUGCUCAUUGGGUUGAACCAGACACCAUGGCAACAACAGUGGUAAAUGGUAAUCUCAUUACUGCCGCCACUUAUGAAGGGCACUCUGAAUUUAUUCAGCACUUUGUAAAGACACUAGCAGGCAACAUAAGUGGCUCCAACAAAAAAAAAUCCUCUUUCUUUGUGGGGUAUGUUCAAAUGAUUUUCAGGCACACAACUGAUAGGAACUUAGUACUCAGGGCACUAAGGUCUUUGUUUAUUCUCUUUUCUUUUAUUUAUUUUAAUUUUAGACUUAAUUUGUAAUCCUCUUUAUAUUCAUUGAUACAUGGAAAUUAGUAGUUUAGACUUUAGACAUGUUUCAUUUUUUUCUCUGUUGUUGAAUGAUUGUUCAAUUGGAUAGUUGGAUCUAUUGUUUUAUGUACUAAUAUACUAUAGCAUUAUAAUGCUUGUGAAUCUU